CUCGUCAUUUUCCUCAAAUUGUUUUGAUAGCUUCGUCUUUUUAAAAAAAAAAAAAAGUAACAUAAAAGCUAACACUUUACCCAAGAUGUUCUGAUGUAAUGAUGACGGUUUAUCUCGUUGGGAAGCUUGAUCUUGCACUACAUCUAGCUUAUAACCCAACGCUUUCAGAUAGUUUGUUUAUAAAGGCAUCUUGGUUACAAUAGAAGGAAAGAAGACAAAACGCAGGGCCUCUUCUUUUCAGUAUCCACUGCGUUUGGACAAACGACCCGAGAGCUUCAAAUGUGUGAUAAUAUUUACCUUUGAAUUUCUCCACAGUACAUGAUCAGGAACAGAUGCCCCUAUUCGCUCUUCCUGUAAAACACACAGUCACUGUAUCUGCCCAGUUUCCUCUAAGUAGUUUAGUGUAACAGCAUCCCACCUUUUUCAUCGUGACUCAGAGAACACCAUCACCCUACAGCCAGGCGCCCACGUGCACCGCAGUCACGAUCAUGCAGAUACACUCCAGCCCACUUACCGUAUUAGAUGAGACUGGUAGGGCCCCUGUCUUCCCUCCUUAAUAACUUCUUCCAGUUUAACCCAGCGGCUGUGUGAGACCGAGACGGGACUGAAGACAUUUGGGAUCGCAGGGAGCCUGGAACUUAUCCCAGGGAGCUCGGGCUACAAGGCAGGGGACACCCUGGACGGAGUCCCAACCCAUCGCAAGGCAAAACUGCACACACGUUCAAACUACGAACAAUUUGGAAAUCUGAAUCAGCCUACAGAGCAUGUUUUUGGACAGGGGAAAAAACUGGAGUACCCGGAAGAAACCCCCGAAGCAAGAACAUGCAAGCUCAGCACACGCAGUCAUCAGCUGCUGUUGUAGUUGUUGUUUUAUUUUUCAUGAACCACAUUGUGAUUGCUUCAUUUCAGAUCCAUGGUGCUGGUGUACAGAGGCAAAAUGAUGAAAACUGCAUCACUGUUCAAAUGCAUAUGGACCUGACUGUACUUCAGUGUGAUUAAUGUUUAUUACAUAAUAAAGGUGAUUA
This is a long non-coding RNA of Ictalurus punctatus (channel catfish), 1025 nucleotides long. The record is from Ensembl. NCBI's taxonomy places the organism in Eukaryota, Metazoa, Chordata, Actinopteri, Siluriformes, Ictaluridae.